Molecule: ribosomal RNA, 253 nt
Filed under: uncultured bacterium
Lineage: Bacteria
Description: partial 16S ribosomal RNA
Rfam family: Bacterial small subunit ribosomal RNA
Source: RNAcentral
UACGUAGGUGGCAAGCGUUAUCCGGAUUUAUUGGGCGUAAAGGGAACGCAGGCGGUCUUUUAAGUCUGAUGUGAAAGCCUUCGGCUUAACCGGAGUAGUGCAUUGGAAACUGGGAGACUUGAGUGCAGAAGAGGAGAGUGGAACUCCAUGUGUAGCGGUGAAAUGCGUAGAUAUAAGGAAGAACACCAGUGGCGAAAGCGGCUCUCUGGUCUGUAACUGACGCUGAGGUUCGAAAGCGUGGGUAGCAAACAGG